Pecten maximus is the source of this 1906-nucleotide long non-coding RNA. RefSeq lists it as uncharacterized. The record is from RefSeq and is a predicted model, not a curated record. Lineage: Eukaryota; Metazoa; Mollusca; Bivalvia; Pectinida; Pectinidae. The transcript has 3 exons.
CGUACGCAAUUUUGACAUUGGUCUAUGGAGAAGUGCGUGUUGAAGAUAACCUUAUAGUGUCUAUAGUACCGGCUUCGUACAAACUUUGUAAGAAGCGAUAGAAUCUCCUCAUCAUCUUGUCUUGUCUGCAGCGGAAGAACAACCAUGAGAUUUAAACUUCCACCUAAAUUCAAAGUUUAUGACUAUUUGAUGUUAACUGGAAACUUGACCAUGUUUGGAAUAACAGUGAUGCUGGCAGGAUUUAGUUUUUAUAGAAUGGUUCAUUUUAAAACAACAAGAGUUCCAGAAAUAGAGGAAGAAGUUCGACUUUUCAAGGAAGCUCAAUUAAUGAAAGAGCAAGUGGAAAGAGAAUCUAUGCUUAUGCGGAACAAACAGACAGAGACAGACAAAAAUUGAUAGUGUGCUUCUCCUAUAGAAAAACUUUUUGUAGAUUUUGAUAUUUUCUAACAUAAAUCACUUGUGAUUAGUCCUUUGUGUUAAAAUAUUUCAAAAUUUUAUAUCGACUGAGAAUAAUGUGAGUGAAUGCAGAAUGUAGAUAUAUGUUUGGUUUAUUGAAUUGUAAAUGUUUAUCCUAUUUGCAGAAUACAAUAAUCUCAGCUGCCCAAGUUACCUCACCUCACAUAAGUUAAAAAAUAUAACUUGUAAUAAAUCAGAUGUUGAUAAAGUCCAAAAUUUGAUGACCAUAGGUCAGUUUUUUUAUCUAUUUUAGAAAUUCUUUUGAUAGACUGGGUUCAUGAAUGCCUCUUGUUUGUAAUUUGAAGUGAGGAAUCUAAUGCCUUCAGCACUUACUGUUGAAGAGACGUUUUUAAUAUAAAGGGAGGUAACUUAUGGCUGUAGUAUUUACUGUUAGAGAUUGUUGUUCUCUGCAAAUUGGAAAAUUCUGGUCUAAACUGAAUAGUUUUAGUGCCAGAUUUUGAUUAAGAUGUUUUAAAUUAUUCCAUUCUUUUUCAGUGGGCAUAUUAUUGUAUACUAUCUCCGUCUGUCCAUCUGUCCGUCAAUUGUGAGGCAUUUCUAUUCACUGGUCUACAGUUUAGUCAGAUAAUAUGUAACUGCCCUAAUUUUUGGCAUUUAUGUUAUUUAUGGGACUUACAAUGACAAUAUGGAUUCAAUUUGUAAAAAUAAUCUCUUUACUUAAUUUAAUUACUUAAGCAUAAGUGCAAGCAUUUUUUAGCACAUACACAUGACAGUGGCUAUCAGGAACUUUAUAUGUGAAACAGAACAAUUAUUGAAUAGGGUCAGACAGGCAUUUUAUGUUCUGAAAACUGAAGGCGUAAGCCCAGUUUACACUGGUUUAUAGAUAUAAAUUACAAUUCAGUUUGAACAGGUCAGUUUUUCUAGUGUGAAUGAGUUUUCAAUGAAAUUACUUUGUUGUGAUUUCCAUUCAGGAUUUUAAACCUCACAAAAUUGUGAAGGAGGUGAUCACAUGUAUGCGUUUUUGUGUGUUUAUGUUGAUUUGUGUGGUAUUAUCAUGGAGAAUAAGUCUUGCAUGUGAAUCUACUUAUAUGAGCACUUGUAUUUUCAUUCAAUGACAACCAUUUCCUAAUUAUGCAUAACAUAAUUUAGUGAUACAGCUAUAUAUUUAUAUACUAUGUAUAAAUAGCUGCAGGUAUACAGUGGUUUUGUGUUGAGCUGUUGUCGUAAUAAGGGCCCUGUAAUCCGCUUGUCCCUCUAUGACAUUUCAGUAAUGUAGUUUUACUUAAACAUGUGAAAAUACGUUAAUCAAGAUUCGUGCUAGAAUAGGUAGAUUAACAGAGUAAUAGGUUUAUAUUAUUGGUAGACAAGGCGAGGAUGUGUCCCUGUUUCUGUCAACGUACUAUCAUGUUCAUCUUUUCAGUCACAUAAUCUGUAUCAAACAGAUAUAAUUGUAAAUCAUCAAAGUAAUUAUUAAAUAUGAUAUUUGAUAAAA